GUCGAAAACCGACUUAAUGCAGUGAGUCGGCAAUAGUCAGAUUGUAUAAACGUCAUUUUGAUGUAGGACAAUUUGUCUUAAUAAGACAUUGGCUUAAAUUCCAUUUUAUCAUUAUUACCGGCACUCUUAGAAGGCUUACAAUGGCAACUUCUGUGCAGUAAACAUUUGGUUAGACUAAUAACUAAAUUAUUAUGCUAAUUAAUGAAUAAUGAAUACUGACCACCGGAUGCUUGCUCAUGCAGUUCGUGCGAACGAAUAGUAGGCCUGUCUGUUCAAUAGUGUAGCUGAACUAUAAGUUGGUGUUGUUGAAUUUGUUUUUAUAGAUUAUUAUUGUUGACUCGUCAUACGUGAUCAUUAGCUCAAAUUGAACAGCACUUUAAUACUGCCAGUGUGGUCUUAAUUUUAAAAGUUGUAGCAAGUAUUGAUGGCAGCGUACGACAAAUAGUGUUAGAAGUAUGGAGCAUCAGUUACAGGUCAAAAUACGAGUAAUUGUGGUCAAGAGAAGAUAAUCCCAGCAAACCGAACUCAUUGAUAUUGUCAUCUAUUGUUAGACAUGUUUGCCAAGAAUCUUCCUCAAAAAAUGACAAAUUUAAAAAAUAUGACAUAAGUCCAGUGGCGGAUCUAGGAAUUCGAAAUAGAGUGGGCCUAAGAAGGAAGGACUUUCACAGAUGGAGAGUCUAGACCAACUCAGCCCAAGUCAUACCUGGGGCUGAGGUAAGACAAUGUAUGAUUAAGUGCCUCGAGAUGGCCGGAAACGGCACUCUCAGAUCAAGAUUGGAAAAAUAUUUUCCUUUCCUUUUCUCCAUUUUUUAAAAAUAAUUUUGAAAAAAAAUUAGGUGGUUGGGGGGUGGGAGCACGGCCCGGCUCGUCCUCCUUGAAUCCAUCACACCCAACGAAUAGAAGAAAAAAAAAACAGUUUAGUAUUUUCAUUUGUUGUUGGUGUUCUCUUUUUUCCCGUUCCAUUGAUGUUAAUUUUAUCAAGUGUGGUUUGAUGAAUUAAUACAAUGUUAAGAGUAAUCAGACAAAUAUACCGAAUUUGUAACUUGGCCAAUGUGGAUUGUUGUGAAGAGGUGUGCUGUUGACACGAAACUAUAUGCUCAAUAAGUAGAUUUUAUUUAGUUUGACAACACAUCGUAGUUGAUACGAUAAAGUUCGGCUGUCAAUCAGAUACUAUCGUUAGAGAUGUAUUUCUAGAAAUUACCAAUUCGGGGAUCAUCCAUGGUGAUCCUGACGGUGUGGAGAUGAUGUCCUAACAGAGAUUCGUGUACCUCUUUUAUUUUUAGUGUGGGAGGAGGGGUGAGUUGUUAAAGAGAUGAGCGCAUGUAAGCUUUGGAUUUUGGA
Long non-coding RNA from Anneissia japonica, 1341 nucleotides. RefSeq lists it as uncharacterized. The transcript has 4 exons. The record is from RefSeq and is a predicted model, not a curated record. Lineage: Eukaryota; Metazoa; Echinodermata; Crinoidea; Comatulida; Comatulidae.